GGUAAGAGCAAAACCGCUCCCAUGCAAAACUGCGCGGCUUUCAAAACCGCCGCCGGCAGCUGCACAGGCUCUGCCGCGCCACGUGGCCAAGCCGCGGAUCGGCGCUGCCCGUGCUCAGUAAGAAAGUACAAGCCGCGGUUUCUCCCCGUGCUCUCCCAUCACACCCGGGAGCUGCCGACGCCUCCCACGCCACAGAGAAACCGAAAGUGCCGCGGCACAGAGCCGGCGCCAUCCCGUGCGGAAACUGCUCGCACCCGGAGCUGCUCCACCAGCGCCGCACCACACGGACCCGCGCCACCGGCGCUGCACUGCCGCCCGGAGCCUCCUGCACACACAAACCCCUCCACCUGGGGCUAGCACCCUUCCCCUGCACCGGAGACUACCCCCCACCACCCGGGAGUCACUCCGGGGUUCCACUAUCACUCGCAGGGAGUCACCUUGAGAUCCGGGCGACGUCCCAGGGGGAAAAGAGAGCGAAUGCCGGAUAGCAGGAGAUUUUAAACCCGGGGGGAAGGAGGCAGAGGCACAACUGAUGGGAGGGGUGAGGGGAGGAAGUAACCCGGGCUAAGACCACCAGCACAAGGCUCUGGGAGGAGAAGGGGAGAUAUGGAACAAACCAUGUGAACACUGCAAAUUACCAAACACCCAGUGCAAAACAACAACAACUAAAUAAACUAUUUAGUGCAAUACAACAGGAGAUGACA
Long non-coding RNA from Vidua macroura (Pin-tailed whydah), 704 nucleotides. RefSeq lists it as uncharacterized. Lineage: Eukaryota; Metazoa; Chordata; Aves; Passeriformes; Viduidae. The record is from RefSeq and is a predicted model, not a curated record. The transcript has 2 exons.